UUAGGGAUUUUCGGCAAUGGACGCAAGUCUGACCGAGCGACGCCGCGUGCAGGAUGAAGCCUUUCGGGGUGUAAACUGCUUUUAUCGGGGAAGAUGAUGACGGUACCCGGUGAAUAAGCAUCGGCUAACUACGUGCCAGCAGCCGCGGUAAUACGUAGGAUGCAAGCGUUAUCCAGAAUCACUGGGCGUAAAGCGCGCGCAGGCGGUUUGUUACGUUGGUUGUGAAAGCCCCCGGCUCAACUGGGGAGGGUCGACCAAAACGGACAGACUGGAGGGCAGCAGAGGCGAGUGGAAUUCCGGGUGUAGUGGUGAAAUGCGUAGAUAUCCGGAGGAACACCGAAGGCGAAGGCAACUCGCUGGGCUGUACCUGACGCUGAGGCGCGAAGGCUGGGGGAGCGAACAG
This 403-nucleotide ribosomal RNA is filed under the name uncultured bacterium. Its description in RNAcentral is "bacterial SSU rRNA". It matches the Rfam family "Bacterial small subunit ribosomal RNA", at positions 355 to 775 of the family's 1533-position model. The record is from RNAcentral.